GAGGUUUCAUGGUGGUGAGAUGAAAAAAAUGAAAAAGAACCAACAUAGCUUUUCGUGUCGUUUCCCACAGACGGCGCCAAAUGUUGAUGCACAAAAUCCGGAGGAUCUUGGACCAACGUAAAUCUGGCCGUGAAUCACAUAAACGCUCAAGAACACAAAGAUGUAUCGUGGUUCACCCCAAUGUUUUGGCUACGUUCACACUGAUGUUGAUUAUGUAUGUAUGUAUGGAUUACAAUAGAUCGGCAAUGGAGCUCUCUGUGGAUGCAGCCCUUGCCAUUUUGCUCUCUGUUUGGCUGAGAGGUUAUUGCCCUCUAUACUGUGAGGGAUGGAUCUGAGACCCUUUAUUUCUCUUUGGAUAUGAGGAGAUCUUAAUGAGGGUGAGGGAGAGUCCCUUUUAUAGAAUAAGGGCUCCUUCCCCUUUUACAUUUGUCAUAGGCUUAGGGACGAGGCCCAAAGACGAGGCCCAAUAUAUGGUACCAACAAAAACAAUCAGCACAUUUGAU
RNAcentral lists this long non-coding RNA (503 nucleotides) under Malus domestica (apple). Its description in RNAcentral is "long non-coding RNA (MDOM_LNC006088)". Lineage: Eukaryota; Viridiplantae; Streptophyta; Magnoliopsida; Rosales; Rosaceae. The record is from RNAcentral.